RNAcentral lists this long non-coding RNA (522 nucleotides) under Zostera marina. RNAcentral's name for it is "long non-coding RNA (ZMAR_LNC003507)". The record is from RNAcentral. Lineage: Eukaryota; Viridiplantae; Streptophyta; Magnoliopsida; Alismatales; Zosteraceae.
CGAACGUCCGCAAGUCUCUGUUUGAAGAUCCCGCCGAGGCGGGGCAAGGAGGACGCAGGAUCGACGGUGGCGUUGUAGUCGAACGUUUUCUGGAAAUCCUGCAGGAGAGACUUAAAGGGCUCAGAAUCCAAGAGCUCGGGAUCCGACCCCCCGGACCGAAGGAGGGAGUCAAGGGGCCCGUCAGGCGGAGGACCAGAGUGGCUAGCUUCGGGAGAGUCCAAGUCCUCGAUAUGGGCCGUCCCCAUGGCAGUGGCGACCGACUUACGUUUCUCGGCCUGAGCCUUCUUCCUUUGUCGUCGUUCGAGCCGGUUUAAAUCGUAGUCACUGAUAGUACAAGGUCCGACACACAGACCAUAGUACUAAAAGACGUAUCCCAAAGUAUCUAAUACGCAGAGGAGGGGGGAGUACUGGUGAUACAGUAUUCCGAACACGGUCACAACCUACCAGCAACUAGAAGUCCGGAUAGCCUAAGAUGAGUUAAGGUAUCUAUUCUAGGGUUGGGGAGGUCCCAGGUCGAAUCCU